RNAcentral lists this ribosomal RNA (254 nucleotides) under uncultured bacterium. Its description in RNAcentral is "partial 16S ribosomal RNA". It matches the Rfam family "Bacterial small subunit ribosomal RNA", at positions 524 to 776 of the family's 1533-position model. The record is from RNAcentral.
UACGUAGGGGGCAAGCGUUGUCCGGAUUCAUUGGGCGUAAAGAGCUCGUAGGCGGCUUGGCAAGUCGGGUGUGAAAACUCCAGGCUCAACCUGGAGACGCCACCCGAUACUGCCAUGGCUUGAGUCCGGUAGGGGACCACGGAAUUCCUGGUGUAGCGGUGAAAUGCGCAGAUAUCAGGAGGAACACCGGUGGCGAAGGCGGUGGUCUGGGCCGGUACUGACGCUGAGGAGCGAAAGCGUGGGAAGCGAACAGG